This 1077-nucleotide ribosomal RNA is filed under the name Triticum aestivum (bread wheat). RNAcentral's name for it is "partial small subunit ribosomal RNA". Lineage: Eukaryota; Viridiplantae; Streptophyta; Magnoliopsida; Poales; Poaceae. The record is from RNAcentral.
AUGGGCAUUACGUGUGUGACAAGUAGUCUGAGCUUCACCAGCCACCUCCGAUCAGGGCCGUCGCCCCGAGAUCCAGACCAAGCGUGGUCGCUCACCGACAACUCCCAGCCGCCCCGCCUUCCUCCUGGCGGUGGUCCCCACCAACACCACGCCCCACCGCCGCGGGAUCCAACAGCCGCACCGUCGUGGAUAGGAUCGAACGCCACCCUCACGAUCCAGGGCGCCCCGCACCACCCUAAAACAAAUAUGAUAAGCAUUGACCGAAUUAGUACAUGGACCAAACAGGUCCAGCAUCCCUCGCCGGCCGCAAAGGGCAAGAAAAUGACAUGCGGCCCCCAGGCGGAGAGCUGGUUCCAGUCCCCAGCCCUGGCUAACCUGGAGGAGCUCGACAUUAAGCUCCUCCCUGCACGACCCAAGGUGAGAUUCUCGCUGCCACCAUCCGCUCUCUCCUCCCCGGCCCUCCUCGUUGUGAAGGUCGCCUAUUGUUCUAUCCCCGACGAGAUCUCCAUGGACUUCCCACUCCUCAAGCACAUCUCCUUCCUUGACGUUUCCAUCUCCGGGGACGUGUUCCAUGGCUUGCUCUCUGCAUGCCGCGCCUUGGAGAGCUUUUAUAUGUCCAAUGUUCAUACUGCGGGUUGCCUCCGUGUCAGUUCGCCGACUCUUAGGAGCAUCGGCUUCAGCAAAGAAUAUUGUGGGAAAUCAGAUAUCAUCAUUGAGGAUGCUCCUCUCCUUGUGAGGUUCAUUUUACCUUGUACUUAUAAUUGUGUGGCUAUCCGGGUAGUUAGGGCGCCAAAACUCCAGAUAUUGGGCCCUUUAUUUAUCGCCAUCUCCACGAUAGUUGUCUCCCAGGGAAUAAGCCCAGACAGCUCGGCAAACUCCAUGCGCACUGUGAAGGUUUUGUCUCUCAGGUGUUCUGGCGAGGAAUUGGAUGCGGUUGUUAACGUCCUCAGGUGGUUUCCCUGUUUGCAAAAACUCUACAUCGUUGGUACUCUUUUGGUCAGAUGGAACAGUGUCAUGAGUUCGAUGGAGAGGGCAGUUUACUUGUCACUCUCCUAUGGUUCUACGUGUAGGUGCUAA